Molecule: long non-coding RNA, 4057 nt
Organism: Mytilus californianus (California mussel)
Lineage: Eukaryota; Metazoa; Mollusca; Bivalvia; Mytilida; Mytilidae
Exons: 4
Source: RefSeq, a predicted model, not a curated record
GAUGCAAGCCCGAUGAAGCUUGGUGGUCUAGCAAAAUAUUGCGUUUACUUUUUAUCAUAUCGUUUGAUUUUGAAUUAUACAUACGAAAAACAAUAUUGACAACAAAACGUAAAUUUCAAUCUGGUAUGGCAGGAAUGAGAAUAUUUUUUUUUCGUUUCCGAAUAUCUCAAAUUAAGGCACAAACAAGUUAAUUACAUGACGGGAUUCUGAUAAGUGCUCAGUAUUAUUUAUGGUUAUCCAUUUCAAUAAAUACUUGAGAAUGAGUGAGACACAUAAAGAUUCAUUCAACUAAGGAGGUUUUUCAUUUAAUUGAUUUUGAAAUUUCCCUAUUCCUAGUGCAAUAGUUAAGUUGACCAAGUUUAUAUUUUAAGCAAUGUUAUUAUGCCUAUAUGUGUCAGGAAGUUCACAAUGCACCAAUCAUUGCCUUAAAUUAUUAAUAUAAUUGUUUCCUUGUCAUUAAUAUAUGAUGGCUCUAAAUGGAUGGAUUUUAACUUGUGUAAUAUUUCUUUCAUUCAAUAUAAUUUACUCCAAGACUUGUAGCAGAAAAAGAAGUUUUGGGUCUGGAGGAACAACAAUAUAUGCAGUAGAAUAUUAUUGUUGCGCUAAUUCAUAUUCAAAGAAUGGAACAUGUAGAAUAUGUCCAGUUGGUUAUACUACAAACCAAGAUGGAACAGAUUGUGACCCAUGUCCAGAUGGCCAAUACGGUAACAGGUGUGCGGAUGAAUGUUUUUGUAAACAAGAUGAACGAUGUAAUAACAUUCUUGGGUGUGUAUCAGAGGACACAACAGUGACGGCGGUUAAUCAGACAGGUAAUGUACUCCUCGAUAUUUAACGUAUUUUGUGUUUUGAGAUGUAUAUUGCCUUUCUUAGAUAUAGGAUAUUGAAUCAAUGAUUUUAGAAAUGUCAUGCUCACAUAAAGCAAAUUAUUUGAGAUUAAUGUACACCUUUCUGAGUACCAGGCCAUUCAAACUAAAGUAAAACAAGAUACCAAAUUUAUAUUUAUAUACGAUUUAAUUCCGGAAGUGAGACAUUUUCUAAACGAUGGUCCCCCCUCAAUUUGUAACAGGAAAAAGUAAUAGGUUUAUGAACGUUAGACGUUCAGCGGAAUAUAUAACACAUAUAUAGAAGACAAGAACGAGUUUAUGUGAUAUGCAUAUAUACCCCAUUUUCUACAUGACUGACAUGUCGAGGCGACUAGUCGCUGAUUUUAGUUUUAGUGCCACAUGCUAAUCUGAGAGACAGCAAAUAUUAAAAUUUUAAGUAUUUAUUGUGAGCCAGGGGGGAUAUAGAAAACACCACACCCGCACUCGCGACAAGCAUGCAACAACGAAACCGUCGAACCACUGUACCGAAUGAAUAAAAAAAGGUAAUUAAAUUCAAAUCUGAAUAAAUACCGGGAGAGCAAAAAAACCUACAACAGUAUAAAGACAAAGUGGGUUACCUCGCCUAAGGGCAACGUUUUCUGAGGAAGUAAGAACUUACAUUGAAUGGUCAUAAAAUUUCUCGCUGAACAUAUUAGAUCGAAUGCACUAGUUUGGAACUCUGAUAACUUGUAUAAAGAAACACAUUUUAAAAUCAUCUACGAUCUUCGAUUUGUUUUUACCUGAUUCAUAUAACUAAAGCUUCGAAUUCCUAUUCUGACAUCGGACUCGGACUUCUCUUAUACUGAGUUUGACUGUGCGUACAUUGGCUAGAGGUAUAGGGGGAGGGUUAAGAUCUCAAAAAACAUGUUUAACCCCGCCGCAUUUUUGCGCCUGUCCCAAGUCAGGAGCCUCUGGCCUUUGUUAGUCUUGUAUCAUUUUUAAUUUAGUUUCCUGUGUAUAAUUUGGAGUUAAGUAUGACGUCCAUUAUCACUGAACUAGUAUACAUAUUUGUUUAGGGGCCAGCUGAAGGACGCCUCCGGGUGCGGGAGUUUCUCGCUGCAUUGAAGACCCAUUGGUGGCCUUCGGCUGUUGUCUGCUCUAUGGUCGGGUUGUUGUCUCUUUGACACAUUCCCCAUUUCCAUUCUCAAUUUUAUAAAUAUGAUUGGUCGUUAAAUUAUUCAUUAUAAACCUAAGGAGACGUUUUACGAUUGCCGAUAAAACAACUAUCCACUAGAGUCAAAAUUACUUUGACAUACGCAGCUAAAGGUCACUUCGCUCCCAGCAUUUAACAAUGAAUUGAAUUGUUAAUCCAUUCCAAUAAAUGGAAGGAAUAAGGCAUUUUUGAAAUCUUAUAUAGAAUUUCCAAUUGAAUUAUAAAAUAUAGGCUUGCUUAUUUUCAGAUCACAGCAAAUUGUUGGGAUUUUCAAGGAAAAACUUUCGAAUCGCCGUCUACUCCGGAUGUUCUGGACUUGUGUUUGUAAUUCUCUGCAUUUUGGUAGGAUACGGAUGUUACAUCAAGGGAAAUCAACAUGCUGUUAGUGUUGGUUUAUCUACUUUGGCCGAUAACAACGUUAUCCAAAACAGAAUACAACUACCUUUACAACACUCUUCGCAUGAAGCAGAAGAAAAUAGAACAAACAAUGAUGAAACCGAGGAGAUCACUUUCUAUACAGAGAAACCUGAUAUGUUGAUUGAAGAUAAAGAAAAUGAAAGAAAGGAAUAUUGGAACAAGAACAACGAGGAAGGUACCUGUGAUAGUUACCUUAUCCCUUACGAAACAGCAGAAACAGAUGGUGAUGAAUUUAGCUGUUUUCCGGAUGAGAAUGAACAACCAACAGUUCAUAGAGAUGAACCCUCUGAUCCUAGAUAUCUCAACAGUUAUCAACCACUAAAUCAUCAACCUCUACAACAUCUUUAUACUGAGUUACAAUAGAAAAAUAAAACAACAAUCAUAGUUCCUUCUCAGAACUUAACAUAGUAAAGAUAUAACCCGUUCGAGCAAGGGCAUUGACUAAAUGAACGCUUGUUACCAUGGAAAUCUUAUCAUUUCUUUUCCCCUAAUGUUGUAUGAUCUGCAUGACAUGUAUAUCAUUACAACCUUGCAUCUUUUACCAUUUGACACCAAUAACGGAAGUACAAUCAAUCAUGCCAAAACCUCCAUGUCAGGAUUAAUGACAAAUUGACAAAUUUUCAACUUGUUUCUUUAUUAUCCUUUUUUGACGUCAUGUCAAUUGGGUACAGAUGCGCAGUUCUGUUAUUGUAGCCUUUUCCUCAAUUCCUGUGCUCAUAUCGUAAACUUGGAUAUGUUUGAAUGCUCGUUUUGAAACUGAAACAUUUUCACAUAUGUGGUUAUAUUUUCGGGGUACGAAGUGAGAUUCGUUUUUCCAUAAUUUAGCAAACCCCGAAAAGUCUUCUGUGAUGCGGCUUCUCGAGGUAAAAAAUCCCCUUUUUCUCACAAUAAGUUCUUUGAAAAUUUAGUUCCUUGCAUACAUUUAAUAACUUCAUAGUUUUUACACCUUUAUUCUAUGGUCCUCUGCUCUACAAAUCAGCACAAAUGGUAAAGCUCAGUCACUUGUUAAAAAUUGGAAUAUGUCCAAUAUCACUACACAGAGAUUUUUUUUACGCACUACUUUUGUGUUCCUCAAUUUGAGGUGCAUUAGUUAUAUUGACCCAGUUGGGUUGCUAUGUUUAUUUCUGAUGUAGAUUAUUUGACUUGCUGAAAACGUAUCGAUUACAGAUGAAUGAAAAAUUUGAAAUUUCUCAAAGGAAUUAAUAAUACCUGGUUAAUUAUUGUCUCUUUGAUUGUUGUUGUUGUGCUGAUCAAUAUCCUUUAAAACAGAAUACUAGUAUAAAAAAGGAGAGUUCCCAGAGUUAUAUCAUCAACAGACCCUUUCGCUGCUCAUGAGCCAUUUUUCAAACCAUUAAACUGGAAGACGCGUUAAAAGAGAAUGAGAUAUUACAAGUUUGUGUUGAAGUGUAUCAAAAUCGAUGCCGUUUCUAUCUUUCUAGUAAACUUUAUUGUGUUUCAGACAAUAACAGAAAUGCCGUUCAAGGAUAUUGUUCAUUAACCAAAAAAAUAAUUGUUCCAUAACCAUGAUAAUCAAAUGUUUGAUUGCUAAAAAAUUGUUUUUGUGUUCCUGACUAUCAAUCAACGUCUGUUAGAAAUAAUAAAAAUUAUGAAUUUGUGUUCGUAA